UUCCCUUGGGAGGGAGACCUGCAGGCUGUGGACCGAGUGGUCUGCAGGAACCAACAUCCCAAAGGGAAGUCUCUGCCUCCUCUGCCACUCUUUCUUUGCUAUAUAUUUAACUUUUUCUAUCUAUGGCUCCUGCAUCAUCAUUUCCCCAGGCCACUUCAUCUGGUUGUUGUGGAAAUGAGGACAAGGUGGCAGACAACAAACAAGGGCCCCCAACAGGGCAAAUAAACCCAGCAAGGUCGAGCGUGACUCAGAAGGCAGCAAGGCUCCCGUUUCUCCCCCUCACCUGGCUUUCUGUAAGACAAGGUUUAGCUGCUCCUCAAGGGCAGACCUGGGGGCUGCAACAUCAUACUCUGCAGGGGAUUGUUGCCAGCUGACUUCACUUUAAUACACAGCAUGUGCUAGAGAGGGUUCACCUGAGCCAGGCACAAAUCCCAAGUCCCCUGUCGACCACCCCUGAACCAGUCUGACUCAACCAGGUUGCAGGCUUUCCCGGAGAUCCCUUCAGUCACAGCCCCCUGCCUUAAUUUAACCUGGUUAUUUAUACCUUUUCCUGUGUGUGUUUAAUUAUAGCAAAACCUGGCAAUACCGCUGUGCUUAACGGUCUGUUGGCAUUUCCAUUAUGAGCCCAGACUGGAAGGGAUUAUAUAGCCUGAGUGUUUGAACUGAGCCUCAGACAGAGACUUGGCAUAGACUUGCAACCCAAAUACAGAGAUUUCCAAUUGGCUAAUGGCAGUUUUGAAAAGGGAACAUUUUUCACAUGCUUAGGUCCUUCCAUUUGCUUAAGCUGCCUUCCUCUGUUUUAAACUCAGCGAGCAAGGAGUCGUAAUUCAGCCUGUUACAGCAGUGACUCAUGUUCAUUGCACAGUGAUGCCAUAACCAGCCAAGGCAAGGCCGUCUGCCUUAAGAGGAAUUACACACAGAGAGAUGACUGGGGAAAGUCAGCUCUUUCACUCACCGGAGUCACACCAUCUGUGCAUCCUAAUUGCAGCUGCCAUGGCCAGCAUGAGUUGUCUGACCACGUCUCAGGCUCUGCAGUGGCGAUACCUAAUGUCACCAACAUGUGCUGGACUUCAUGAGCAGCCAGUAGCACUUACAGGGCAUCAGUUGGUUCAUCCUCAAGUAGAUGUAUCAAAUAGGAUUGCUUGGUCAAGUCCUAAAAAUGUUUUUUUUCUUCCCAUCAGCUCUGUGGGGAGUUGUGGUAAUAGGCUCAGGCAGCAGGGAUAGUCUGCUGGGACCAGUCACACUUGCUGGGAAUCUAGAGGAGCUCCCUCCUCUAGAGGGAUGUGGUCCAUCCAUCUAUCUCCACAAGUUUUUUCUUCUAAUGGAAGACAGAACAAGAGCAGGCAAAAAACUAUGUCUUCUUUUAAUGCAUAGGAGUCUUUGACACAGAAGAACCAAGUGAUUUACCCAUGGUCUCCCAGUAGGUCAAAGAGAGCCUUUCCUGGGAGCAAACCUGGAUCUGCACUGCACACUGAUGCCUCUGCAGGGCCUCUCCUCCUUCUGAACGCAUUAAGUAAGCAAGUUGAUACAACAUGCAAGAGAAUAUCGUGUUUUGGGAAGAGUUAUAAGUCAAGCAAAGAAAACUAGCUAGUAAAUGAAGAGAAGCCUGUAGCAAAGACCAUGUGUUGCAAACAGCCUUUCUCUCCAGGAAGCUUGCUUUGGACCUUGGUGGAAGGUCUUCUGUGCCUGUGUCCGUGGUAGAGAUGGUCCAUCCAUUGCUGUCUCCCAUCUCUUGCCUGUUGGAACCUGAGAGGAAGGAGGUGAAUACCAUACCCUGUACUCAGCUGGAGGAGAAGCAUCAAGGCCCAAGGCUGCUGCAUUUGCAGCUCAUACAUAGAGGGAUGCUAUGCAAGGUGCCUUGGCUUCUGCUCCCCUGGAGCUGGGGCUGCACUUCAUUCCCCAUCUCAGGGGUACCGGAGCUGGGUGAGCUCACCCAGGCUGUGCUAGGCAGCUGCACCCCCUGAUCUGGGAAGGGCUGGUGGGGACUGGACAGAGGAGACAGCUCUGUUCCCAUCAGGGCUGUCACCAUGGGAACUUUAGGGACCGAGGCCAUUUACGGCUGGUUGUAAACCCUGACUCUGACAGCAGAGCCUUUCUUCGCCUUUUCCUCUGGACUUGGCCCUGACUGUCUCAGAGAAAGCAGGCUCAAAUUCUACCUCCGGCUGGCUCUGCACACACAUCCCCUGGCACUGAGCGCUGGCCCGCUGCGUGGGAGCUGCUCGAGCUCAGCUAAGUGUCCUGGCUGUCUCUCCCAGAGAAAGUGGAGCAGACGCCUGAGGUUGCUGAGCAUCACAGGUCUGACAGUUCUGCAGACACCUGCGGAUAUGCAGGGAAAGACAAAUGGUGGGGUAGCAGUGCCAUUGCCCCUUGGAGGAGCUCUCAGAUCAAUUUGUGAGGCAAAUGAUCCCUGGUAAAGUCUAGCUCCUCUCAGCAGAUUCCCAGCUUUGAGGCUGGAAGGGCUCAUCUUUCGGCUUGGCCAAAACUGGAAGUGCUGUGGUGAAAAGAUGGAGAAACAGCUGGCAGGAGCCAGCCCGUGGAGGAGAAGUUGAGGGCAGAAGGAUUUCAGCAGCCAAAUCUCAUCUGGUCCUUCUUCUGAUGCCAAAUUCUCCUGUGAAAGCCACGUGGUUUGUGCAGUUCCAGAGGACUACCCCGGGCCUGCCCAGCCUUCCUCUAGAGAGAGACAGGUUAAAACACAGACCUGGUUAUCGAUGCUGCUCUGUCUCCUGGGAGCUAAAGUCCAGGUAGCUCAUGGCUGUCUUGUCCUUUUGCAGGCUCAGCACCCUAGCUGGACCACUGAUCCCCCUGUGUGCCACAAUGCCCUGCUAACAAAAUGUGGUGGCGUGACCAUGGUGCUGAAUGGGAGUCUCCAUGGCAGGGUAGUGUCUGGCAGGGCAGGACUUGGGGACCAGGAGGCAGCCCUUGUUCUUCACAGUGAAGGCCUGGGGGAUGGAGGGCAUUUUGCCAGACUGCCCAGCUUUCAGGAGUUCAGGUAUGAGACCAGGAAGAGGAGAUGUACUUCCUAAGAGAAAGUGACUGGAUUUGUUCUGGGCUUCCUGUGAGAUUCUGGGAGAAAAAAUGAAAAGGCUUUGCUGCUUUAUGAGGAAGGUGCCCAGGAAGUCUCCAGCGGUGACAAUGUGCAGGGGAACCAUGAGACAUCCCAAUGGGGAGAGUCCCACAUGUCAGGAGGUGUUUGGAGACACCAUAAUUGCCAGAAGGGCUUGUGGGUCAGGAGGUGAACUGAAGGACAUUUUUGAGAACUGCAGUGGCAUCCUUCUCUGUCCAGUGGGGUGCUGGAGACUUGUGUGAGUCAGUCUGAAGCUUUCCUCUGCAUAUCACCGGAGGCUGGAAGCCUUUGCCAAAUGAUCAGUGCGCCCCACAAAAAUCUGUGAUGGGUCUUGGCACUGAUCACACAGGGUCUUCUGAGGAUGAGCAGGACUGUGGGAAAAGUGAUGGAUCAGCCAAAAUGGUGACCCAGGGCAGAAAGCAACCAAGUGGACUCUGACUCAAGGAGCUGCUGCUGGAUGGACUUCAACUUUGUCUUGAUGUGGAGGAGAGCAGGAAUGCUGUCAAUGCCAGGCAUCAGUCUUUCUGUUGCGGACUCCAGGCAUUAUUGGUUUGGGCCCAUUUCCCCCAUGUUGUUUGCAAACUAAGUGGCUCUACUGAAGUGACCCUUUGGGCAGGUGCCUUGCUGUGCCACCCUCCCUCUUUGGCUGGAUGGCUCCUUGCAUCUCCCUGCUGUGCAAAGCUGCUGUCUCCAGAACCGUGUGAACAGCAGGCUCUGACCCUGCUGCCUCACAGCCUCCAGUGCAAAGGUGGCCCCAGGGCACUUCCCAUGGAUUUUCCACCCACAGGUGCCACCACCCUUCCGGAAGGAAGCAGUCAGCCUUGUUUUGAGCAGCUGCUUUGCAAAUACAUCCUCUCUAGCACGCAGCUGCCUGACCCAGGACAAAGCAACCUGUGGCCUCAAGGAGUGAAACACAGCGUUGAAAACUGAAAGUGCUGCACACAGAGCAAGUGAUGCUCUCCACUAGCUCCUGUGACAACCACCUUUCUGCUUAUCAGUCUUUGUCAGGAACAAGAAGGAUCUCUAUAGUGUCUUUUCCUCCCUGGUGCUGCCUUGGCACCUGCUGCAGAGCAGAAAUUCGAGGAGAUGGAUGAAGACCUUGGUCUGCUUUAUGGAAAUACUUCUAGUGUUUUUAGGUCAGGUAAAGGUCUUUCAUUAACAAAUCCUACCUGCUGACCCCAAAGCACGUGAGAUCCUCUCAGAUUUUUUGCCAGCAUUCCUCGUACUUUUGUGUUGCUUCAAACUGGAAACAAUGCUCUUGGAAAAGCUUCUAGCAGCUCCGGAGUGGGUCCCUGGAAACUCAGUGAGCUAGCUGCAAUGCAGAGCUCAGAAGUGCUCUUUCCACAUGUGCUACCUCUUGGAAGCCAAGGAAGGAUUCCUAGGGCCAGGAAGAGAGAGUGUAUGCCACCAUGUGGCAGCAGAUUCCCAAGUGUGGAGCUCAGGAGAGCUUCAGGCAGGCCCAGCUCGUAGCUCAGGCUGGAGGAGGGCCUGGCCCUCGCAGGCAGAACUUCAGCAAGGAGUUAUGACUUUCUGUGCGUGGACAGGGAGGUGCUGUACAGGCACCCUCUCCCAUCUGCAAAGGCAGGUAAGAUUUAUUCUGCAAUUGAGCAGCCCUGGAAUUUACCAUGGAAGACAAUAUUCAUCUGAGAAUUGUGUUCCAGCACCAAGACACAUUAUUCACAGUGACAGCCUGCAGAGCUGAAAAUAAACAAAGAACAAAGUCCAAUCAAGUAGCUUUGGACAGAAACCACCCUGCCUCAAGGCAGAAGACAACUUCUAAGCAAGAGAGACAACUUCUGAGGAAGAAACUCUUUUGGAAGCGCAUUAUCCCGCUGAUGCAAAGCUUCUUGCCUUUCUCUCAGAGGCAACCAAAAAUUGGCCUGCCAGAAAACUUUGGGCGAGAUGGAGGCUUAAUUUGAUCCAGACCGUUCUUAUCUCCUAUAUUUUCACUGAAAAAAAAAAAGAAAAAGAAAAGUUUCUCAUCUUUCUGGCAAUGAAGAGAGCCCUAAAUAUCUGAAGUUAACAUAAAAAGCCCCUGCAUUGUUUGUAGCCUGAAUUUAUGCUACAACGAGAACUCUGAGUUGUUAGUCAUAUCAACAGGCUCUUAACUCUAAACUCAGCAAUGGCCACUCAAGCCUUAGCUUCCCUCACUGUUGUAUGCUGCCUGAGGAUCUGUUUAUCCCCUAGGCUCUGUACUGCCCUCCUAGACAGCAAAAUACCUAUUUCUGCCUCCUCAACAACUCUUCCAGGGUGUUGCACAGUAACUGCUAUCCUGUAUUCUAUAAAUACAGCACUGUCGGCUUAAAACACAUUUGAAUAUAGAGAGGAGUAGCAUGGGGACAACUGCCUAGUUGGGUUACUUGGGUACUCAUUCUCUUAAGUGCUACACUGUAAUUUGAAGGUGGGAAUGAAGCUAUUGACAAGUCUGCGGUCUUUUGCUGUAGACAUCCAGGUAUUCCAAAGGGCCCUGUUCCCAAAAAACUUGGACUAAACUUGUCCUGAGCACCUGGAUCCAUGCAAGCUACUGCUAUAUCAGAUGAAAUGUGUCUAAGAGGCUAGACCAUGCUGGCAGACCUCCAGGCCUUGUGCUGAUUUGCCCUGGUGGAGACUCCAACCCAUUGCUGCUGUCUGGGAAAACCAGAUCCAUGUGUCCUUGAGAAGAGCACAAAGAAGAUCAGAGUGUGGACUGGGGAAAAAUGGACCAGACAUACUCCUUCUGCUUUCCUCUGUGCUUGUGCAGGGUAGAGCAAAGCAUUGACUCAGGAGGCAGGGCGAGCCUGUGGAGGCACAGAGGAGGAGGCAGAGGAGGAGGAGGAGGAGGAGGAGGAGGAGGAAGGACAUGGAAUCUUCAGUAUCAGGAUGGAAAUGUGGAACCUCAACUUUCAAAGGUCAUCCAGUUGGGCUCACACUGGCUGGAGAAACAGGUCUUCAUACACAGCAACAAACACUCAAAACAAAUAAAAACAUAAUUUAAAAUAU
Long non-coding RNA from Passer domesticus (house sparrow), 6043 nucleotides. RefSeq lists it as uncharacterized. Lineage: Eukaryota; Metazoa; Chordata; Aves; Passeriformes; Passeridae. The record is from RefSeq and is a predicted model, not a curated record. The transcript has 7 exons.